CAGGCUGUCAGUGUGUACAGCAAGAACUGCUCAAGUAAGCCACACCAUCUGCACCCGGUCUGAGAAGGUGACUUGUCCCAAAAUUGAUCUUUGCUUCUUAACGAAGCUGUCAGAUGUCCCAUGAAAUCAGAGACCCUUGGACUUUCCUCCUCAAAAGGAAUUCAGAGGCAACACCAACUACACGUGGGCACUCUUCACGAACCAGGUGCUUUCAAAGCACUCUACGUGGAUAAACUCAUUCAAUAUCCCAAGAGCCCCAUGAGAGCCAUAGGUCACCAGGUUUUGCCAUGAGGACUGCGGAGCAGCAAAAGCAGGUCUACAGAGAGUAAGAAUGAGAUAGAACCAUGGAGAGAAGCAAAGGCAAGAAAUGGAGAGAGGAAGUCCUAAUAUUUCCUUACCACCCUGCAAUGAAUUGUCUUGUGCACUUUCUGGAGCAUGUCACCCCAGGGUGGAGACCACUGGAUUAAGUCGCCAGUUCCUAAAAUUGUUGUGGGGCCGCGUGGUGAGAGUACCAGAUGUUCACAUCCACAGGAAUUUGGAUGGUCCUCGCUGAUCCAAUCCAGCGGGUGACGGAUUGCCGCCCGUCAUCCUAAGAAGAUAAUAGCCUCCUUUAUUACCACCAUUUUAUAGACAAGGAAACUGAGACACAGUAAGGGGAGAACACACCCACUGUCUUGCAGAUGGUUUGAGCCACUGCUAGCACCUGAGGAUUCAACAGUGAUCCCCAUAAGCAUAGUCCCUGCCUUCAAGAAGCUUGUGAUUGGAUGGAGGAGAGAGACAAUAAACAGAUGAAGAAACUUGAGAUGUGGCUUUUCCAACAUCCAGAAGUGGUCCAUUUUGACUCCAAGUUCAAGUUCUUAGCUGCUACUGUGCUGUCCCCUUAGAAGAUAAAUCGUCUAGCUGCAUCUGAUUGCAUUAUCAUAUCAAAUCCUUUCUAUUGUGCAAAGAACCAAUUCUCCAAAUUGAGUGUCUUAAUACCACUCUCAGUCCACAAUCUAUAAAGCACACCUUUGAACUGUUGUAUACAUUUUCUUUACAAUGAACAAACAGAAAAAACAUUGAACUUUUCAUUCAACUGAUUGAAACAUUGACCUUCACAUGUUGCCUAACAUAACAAAUGAAGUUACACAAUCAUUUUAUAGCUCCAGUCCUAUCUCUGCUAUUAUAACCUCCAGCCUUUACAGGACUGUCCUGAUGUAAAACCCACAGGUCCUCUGGACCUCACACAGUUCUACAUUCACACAGCGCUCACCAUGUUUAUUAGGUACAUUCUCACCUGUCUCAGGGGUCCCAGGUGUCUUAGCUUCCCUGAAUGGAAAAAGACAUUCCUGCUUCAUUCUCUUUCUCUUUUUACAAAAACCACUACCCCCUCUGCCUACCUGCUCCUACGACCUCAUUCUUCUCAGGUUUGUGUGCUUCAAGAAGUGCAAAACUGGUGAACUGUGGUGAAAAUUCCACUGUUUUCCCAGAUCAGGUAGUGCCUACGACUUCACCGAGGGCUGAAGAAAAGGAUCAGCUUUAAAAGUCAGACCGUGUUCUCUUCUCUUCUCUGUUGUCUGCUUGGGCAUCCCCUGUUUUCUCACUAUCUGUAGACAGUGACUAGUCCUGAAAGUAAGGUUGUAGAAUGACCCACGCAAAGCUCUGCUUAGAAUAUCUGGAAUGGAAUCAGUUAUGUGUGAACUUCUGGUUUGCAAUCCAAUAACCCACUCUUCUUAAAUGUAUAUUUAUCCAAAACCACCCCUCCUCAGCACAGCAUUUACUGUAUCACUCAUGGGAUCACUCUCUCCCACUCACUGGGACUCAUUUGCCCAUCUGUAAAGUUAAAGGAGUAGAUUAAACCGUUUGUGACGUCACUUCCAGCUCUAAAGGUCUUUGAUUCUAAUCUAGGUUUCCAUUUUCCUACACUAGAGUUUCCUUCCUUCCAUCCAUUCAUCCACCCAUCCAUCCGCUUAUUCAUUCAUUCACAGAAAAAAAUGUAUAUAUGGAGUGCCUACUGUGUGCUAGAUAUUGUUCUAGGCAGAUUGAUUAAGUAAUAACUAGGACAGAUAACAUCUAUCCCCCAUGGGGGCAUAACCUUCUCUCUUACCUCUCCCCGCAAAUAAUUUGAAAGUGUAAAGAAAACCAGUGGUAGAGUUGUUCUAAC
This 2143-nucleotide long non-coding RNA is filed under the name Equus caballus (horse). Its description in RNAcentral is "lncRNA (ENSECAG00000046494.1)". Lineage: Eukaryota; Metazoa; Chordata; Mammalia; Perissodactyla; Equidae. The record is from RNAcentral.